AUUGAACGCUGGCGGCAUGCCUAACACAUGCAAGUCGAACGGCAGCACAGAUAUAGUUUACUAUAUUGGGUGGCGAGUGGCGGACGGGUGAGUAACGCGUGGGUAUAUAACCUAAAGACGGGGACAACUUGCGGAAACGCGAGCUAAUACCGGAUAAGCUCUGAGGAGAAAAGCUGGGGAUCUGGCGACAGACCUGGCGCUUUAGGAGUAACCUGCGUCCAAUUAGCUAGUUGGUAGGGUAAAGGCCUACCAAGGCGACGAUUGGUAGCUGGUCUGAGAGGACGGACAGCCACACUGGGACUGAGACACGGCCCAGACUCCUACGGGAGGCAGCAGUGGGGAAUAUUGGACAAUGGGGGGAACCCUGAUCCAGCAAUGCCGCGUGUGUGAAGAAGGCCUGCGGGUUGUAAAGCACUUUAGUAGGGAGGAGUGUUUGAAGGUUAAGAGCUAUCAAGCAGGACGUUACCUAAAGAAUAAGCACCGGCUAACUCCGUGCCAGCAG
RNAcentral lists this ribosomal RNA (502 nucleotides) under uncultured bacterium. Its description in RNAcentral is "bacterial SSU rRNA". It matches the Rfam family "Bacterial small subunit ribosomal RNA", at positions 30 to 514 of the family's 1533-position model. The record is from RNAcentral.